CAAUAGCGUAUAUUAAAGUUGUUGCGGUUAAAAAGCUCGUAGUUGGAUUUCUGCCGAGGACGACCGGUCCGCCCUCUGGGUGAGCAUCUGGCUCGGCCUGGGCACCUUCUUGGAGAACGUAUCUGCACUUGACUGUGUGGUGCGGUAUCCAGGACUUUUACUUUGAGGAAAUUAGAGUGUUUCAAGCAGGCAUAUGCCUUGAAUACAUUAGCAUGGAAUAAUAAGAUAGGACCUCGGUUCUAUUUUGUUGGUUUCUAGAGCUGAGGUAAUGAUUAAUAGGGAUAGUUGGGGGCAUUCGUAUUAACGCGUCAGAGGUGAAAUUCUUGGAUUUGUUAAAGACGGACUACUGCGAAAGCAUUUGCCAAGGAUGUUUUCAUUGA
Molecule: ribosomal RNA, 380 nt
Filed under: uncultured eukaryote
Lineage: Eukaryota
Description: partial 18S ribosomal RNA
Rfam family: Eukaryotic small subunit ribosomal RNA
Source: RNAcentral